AGCUACGGGAAACUGUAGGUAAUACCUUAUAAUAUGUGCAACCCUCAAAGAUUUAUCGCCUAGAGAGGAGCCCGUGCCAGAUUAGGUCGUUGGUGGGGUAACAGCCUACCAAGCCUAUGAUCUGUAGUUGGUCUGAGAGGAUGAUCAGCCACACUGGGACUGAGAACGGCCCAGACUCCUACGGGGGGCAGCAGUGGGGAAUAUUGGACAAUGGGGGAAACCCUGAUCCAGCAAUGCCGCGUGAGUGAAGAAGGCCUUUGGGUUGUAAAGCUCUUUCACCUGUGACGAUAAUGACGGUAGCAGGACAAGAAGCCCCGGCUAACUCCGUGCCAGCAGCCGCGGUAAGACGGAGGGGGCAAGCGUUAUUCGGAAUUACUGGGCGUAAAGGGUGCGUAGGCGGUUUUUUAAGCAAGGUGUGAAAGCCCUGGGCUCAACCCAGGAACGGCGCUUUGAACUGAAGAACUAGAGUACGAAAGAGGAAAGAGGAAUUCCUAGUGUAGGGGUGAAAUCCAUAGAUAUUAGGAAGAACACCAAAGGCGAAGGCGACUUUCUGGUUCGUAACUGACGCUGAGGCACGAAAGCGUGGGGAGCAAAUAGGAUUAGAUACCCUAGUAGUCCACGCUGUAAACGAUGAAUGCUAGACGUUGGGGGUUCGUCCUUCAGUGUCGCAGCUAACGCGUGAAGCAUUCCGCCUGGGGAGUACGGUCGCAAGAUUAAAACUCAAAGGAAUUGACGGGGGCCUGCACAAGCGGUGGAGCAUGUGGUUUAAUUCGACGCAACGCGCAAAACCUUACCAGCUUUUGACAUAGGGACAGAAGGCAUCAGAGAUGAAGCCUGCGGUUCGGCCGGGUCCCGUACAGGUGCUGCAUGGCUGUCGUCAGCUCGUGUCGUGAGAUGUUGGGUUAAGUCCCGCAACGAGCGCAACCCUCGUUCUUAGUUGCCAGCAGUUCGGCUGGGGACUCUAAGAAAACUGCCGGUGACAAGCCGGAGGAAGGUGGGGAUGAUGUCAGGUCCUCAUGGCCCUUAUGGGCUGGGCUACACACGUGCUACAAUGGCGAUCACAAUGAGAAGCAAGGGGGUGACCCGGAGCCAAUCUCUAAAAAUCGUCUCAGUUCGGAUUGUUCUCUGCAACUCGAGAGCAUGAAGUUGGAAUCGCUAGUAAUCGCAGAUCAGCAUGCUGCGGUGAAUACGUUU
Molecule: ribosomal RNA, 1194 nt
Filed under: Hepatobacter penaei (SeqCode)
Lineage: Bacteria; Pseudomonadati; Pseudomonadota; Alphaproteobacteria; Holosporales; Holosporaceae
Description: bacterial SSU rRNA
Rfam family: Bacterial small subunit ribosomal RNA
Source: RNAcentral